GUGAAUCAUCGAAUUUUUGAACGCACAUUGCGCUUCCUGGCAUUCCGGGAAGUAUGCCUGUUUGAGGGUCAGUUUUAACCACAAAUUGGUUUAGUUACAAAUUGUGACGUUUCUGGAGUUUGGGCUAUCUUCACAUUUUGGAUAAGAGGCUCAAAAUUGACCUUCUUUGCGCAUUUCUCAUUGUACAUAAAUUUUUUUUAUUCGUCUAUACUUAAUGCCAAAAUCUUAUUAGAUGCGAUCACG
Molecule: unclassified non-coding RNA, 243 nt
Filed under: Glomeraceae sp.
Lineage: Eukaryota; Fungi; Glomeromycota; Glomeromycetes; Glomerales; Glomeraceae
Description: partial contains 5.8S ribosomal RNA and internal transcribed spacer 2
Rfam family: 5.8S ribosomal RNA (bases 1-71)
Source: RNAcentral